Molecule: ribosomal RNA, 491 nt
Filed under: uncultured bacterium
Lineage: Bacteria
Description: partial 16S ribosomal RNA
Rfam family: Bacterial small subunit ribosomal RNA
Source: RNAcentral
AGUGAACGCUGGCGGCAGGCCUAACACAUGCAAGUCGAACGGCAGCACAGUAAGAGCUUGCUCUUACGGGUGGCGAGUGGCGGACGGGUGAGGAAAACAUCGGAAUCUACUUUUUCGUGGGGGAUACGUAGGGAAACUUACGCUAAUACCGCAUACGACCUACUGGUGAAAGCAGGGGAUCUUCGGACCUUGCGCGAUUGAAUGAGCCGAUGUCGGAUUAGCUAGUUGGCGCGGUAAAGGCCCACCAAGGCGACGAUCCGUAGCCGGUCUGAGAGGAUGAACCGCCACACGGUAUGAGAGGCUGAGUGCAGACACCGGCAGGGAGCAACAGUGGAGAAUCUUAGGGGAUGCAGGCGAGCCUAAUCCAGCCAAACCGCGUAAAUUAUGAUGGCGUUACGGUGGGAGAGCCCAUAAGUUGUGAGGGAAGUACAGCAGUAUAAUACGCCACGAUUAUGACGGUACCCAAAGAAUAAGCACCGGCUAACUUCGUG